Molecule: transfer RNA, 74 nt
Filed under: Cyanidium caldarium
Lineage: Eukaryota; Rhodophyta; Bangiophyceae; Cyanidiales; Cyanidiaceae
Description: tRNA-Trp
Rfam family: tRNA
About the family: Transfer RNA (tRNA) molecules are approximately 80 nucleotides in length. Their secondary structure includes four short double-helical elements and three loops (D, anti-codon, and T loops). Further hydrogen bonds mediate the characteristic L-shaped molecular structure. tRNAs have two regions of fundamental functional importance: the anti-codon, which is responsible for specific mRNA codon recognition, and the 3' end, to which the tRNAs corresponding amino acid is attached (by aminoacyl-tRNA synthetases). tRNAs cope with the degeneracy of the genetic code in two manners: having more than one tRNA (with a specific anti-codon) for a particular amino acid; and 'wobble' base-pairing, i.e. permitting non-standard base-pairing at the 3rd anti-codon position.
Source: RNAcentral
ACGCCUUUAGUUCAACUGGGAAGAACAUAGGUCUCCAAAACCUAAUGCUGAGGGUUCAAGUCCUUCAAGGCGUG